RNAcentral lists this ribosomal RNA (439 nucleotides) under uncultured bacterium. RNAcentral's name for it is "partial 16S ribosomal RNA". It matches the Rfam family "Bacterial small subunit ribosomal RNA", at positions 338 to 795 of the family's 1533-position model. The record is from RNAcentral.
CCUACGGGUGGCUGCAGUGGGGAAUAUUGCGCAAUGGGCGAAAGCCUGACGCAGCGACGCCGCGUGAGUGAAGAAGUAAUUCGUUAUGUAAAGCUCUAUCAGCAGGGAAGAAAAUGACGGUACCUGAGUAAGAAGCCCCGGCUAACUACGUGCCAGCAGCCGCGGUAAUACGUAGGGGGCAAGCGUUAUCCGGAUUUACUGGGUGUAAAGGGAGCGUAGACGGCAGUGCAAGUCUGGAGUGAAAGGCGGGGGCUCAACCCCCGGACUGCUCUGGAACUGUACGGCUGGAGUGCAGGAGAGGUAAGUGGAAUUCCUAGUGUAGCGGUGAAAUGCGUAGAUAUUAGGAGGAACACCAGUGGCGAAGGCGGCUUACUGGACUGCAACUGACACUGAUGCUCGAAAGUGUGGGUAUCAAACAGGAUUAGAUACCCGAGUAGUC